Molecule: ribosomal RNA, 487 nt
Filed under: uncultured bacterium
Lineage: Bacteria
Description: partial 16S ribosomal RNA
Rfam family: Bacterial small subunit ribosomal RNA
Source: RNAcentral
GAUGAACGCUAGCGAUAGGCUUAACACAUGCAAGUCGAGGGGCAGCACAAGGUAGCUUGCUAUCUGGGUGGCGACCGGCGCACGGGUGCGUAACGCGUAUGCAACUUGCCCUAUACAGGAGGAUAACCCGUCGAAAGACGGACUAAUACUGCGUAUGCUCACAACUUGGCAUCAAGUGGUGAGGAAAGAAAUUCGGUAUAGGAUAGGCAUGCGUCCCAUUAGCUUGUUGGUGAGGUAACGGCUCACCAAGGCAACGAUGGGUAGGGGAACUGAGAGGUUUAUCCCCCACACUGGUACUGAGACACGGACCAGACUCCGACGGGAGGCAGCAGUGAGGAAUAUUGGUCAAUGGGCGCGAGCCUGAACCAGCCAAGUCGCGUGAAGGAGGACUGUCUUAUGGAUUGUAAACUUCUUUUAUACGGGAAUAACAAGAGUCACGUGUGACUCCCUGCAUGUACCGUAUGAAUAAGCAUCGGCUAACUCCGUG